ACACGUAGGGGGCAAGCGUUGUCCGGAAUUACUGGGCGUAAAGGGUGCGUAGGUGGCCAAAUAAGUCAGAUGUGAAAGUCCAGGGCUUAACCGUGGAAUCGCAUUUGAAACUGUAUGGCUUGAGUGCAGGAGAGGAGAGCGGAAUUCCUAGUGUAGUGGUGAAAUGCGUAGAUAUUAGGAAGAACACCAGUGGCGAAGGCGGCUCUCUGGACUGUAACUGACGCUGAGGCACGAAAGCGUGGGGAGCGAACAGGAUUAGAGACCCUGGUAGUCCACGCCGUAAACGAUGAGUGCUAGGUGUCGGGAGUCAAAUCUCGGUGCCGGAGUAAACACAAUAAGCACUCCGCCUGGGGAGUACGACCGCAAGGUUGAA
Molecule: ribosomal RNA, 373 nt
Filed under: uncultured bacterium
Lineage: Bacteria
Description: bacterial SSU rRNA
Rfam family: Bacterial small subunit ribosomal RNA
Source: RNAcentral